This 301-nucleotide ribosomal RNA is filed under the name uncultured bacterium. Its description in RNAcentral is "partial 16S ribosomal RNA". It matches the Rfam family "Bacterial small subunit ribosomal RNA", at positions 509 to 807 of the family's 1533-position model. The record is from RNAcentral.
CAGUAGCCGCGGGAAUACAGAGGAUGCAAGCGUUAUCCGGAAUUAUUGGGCGUAAAGGGCUCGCAGGCGGUUUCUUAAGUCUGAUGUGAAAGCCCCCGGCUCAACCGGGGAGGGUCAUUGGAAACUGGGAAACUUGAGUGCAGAAGAGGAGAGUGGAAUUCCGCGUGUAGCGGUGAAAUGCGUAGAGAUGUGGAGGAACACCAGUGGCGAAAGCACUCUGCUGGGCCGACACUGACACUGAGAGACGAAAGCUAGGGGAGCAAAUGGGAUUAGAUACCCGAGUAGUCCCUGUCUCUUAUAC